CUCCAUCCUCACUUUGUUCGCUCCUCAGUCGUCCAGGCGGAUUCCUUUUUCGCCAGGCACCAAGGCACAGCUUAGAGUAGACCCGAGUCCUGCUCUGCGGAGUUCGUCUUCCCAGCGAAGGUACAGAGGCGGAUGAACUGCUGAGACUUGAUCAAAAGCUGAGUGAAGCAGUGGUCCAGCUGGAAUUCAACACCUGAGAUAUCUGACUCCAGAUACCAGCCCUUCCUUGCUUCCCACUAGCUGCCUAACCCAGAGAGGAGAUUGGGAAAAGAGAAACAAGUUACAGAAUUCAAGACCUCCACCCAGGAACUGACUCAGCGCAAGAAGACAGCUUCGACUCUGUAUGAGUUCAUCUCCAACCUGACCAAUCAGCACUCCCGGCUCACUGGCUUCCCCCCAUCCACCAAGUUGUCCUUAAAACUCUGCUCCCCGAAUGCUUGGGGAGACUUAUUUGAGUAAUAAUAAAACUCUGUUCU
This 476-nucleotide long non-coding RNA is filed under the name Homo sapiens (human). RNAcentral describes it as "HSALNT0292758". Lineage: Eukaryota; Metazoa; Chordata; Mammalia; Primates; Hominidae. The record is from RNAcentral.